GGGGAUAUAGCUCAGCUGGGAGAGCGCUGCGUUCGCAAUGCAGAGGCCGGGGGUUCGAUCCCCCCUAUCUCCACCA
Molecule: transfer RNA, 76 nt
Filed under: Alphaproteobacteria bacterium
Lineage: Bacteria; Pseudomonadati; Pseudomonadota; Alphaproteobacteria
Description: tRNA-Ala
Rfam family: tRNA
About the family: Transfer RNA (tRNA) molecules are approximately 80 nucleotides in length. Their secondary structure includes four short double-helical elements and three loops (D, anti-codon, and T loops).
Source: RNAcentral